RNAcentral lists this ribosomal RNA (492 nucleotides) under uncultured bacterium. RNAcentral's name for it is "partial 16S ribosomal RNA". It matches the Rfam family "Bacterial small subunit ribosomal RNA", at positions 29 to 507 of the family's 1533-position model. The record is from RNAcentral.
AGUGAACGCUGGCGGUAGGCCUAACACAUGCAAGUCGAACGGCAGCACAGUAAGAGCUUGCUCUUACGGGUGGCGAGUGGCGGACGGGUGAGGAAUACAUCGGAAUCUACUUUUUCGUGGGGGAUAACGUAGGGAAACUUACGCUAAUACCGCAUACGACCUACGGGUGAAAGCAGGAGCUCUUCGGACUUUGCGCGAUUGAAUGAGCCGAUGUCGGUUUAGCUAGUUGGCGGGGUAAAGGCCCACCAAGGCGACGAUCCGUAGCUGGUCUGAGAGGAUGAUCAGCCACACUAGAGCUGAGACGCGGUCCAGACUCCGACGGGAGGCAGCAGUGGGGAAUAUUGGACAAUGGGCGCAAGCCUGAUCCAGCCAUACCGCGUAGGUGAAGAAGGCCUUCGGGUUGUAAAGCACUUUUGUUGGGAAAGAAAAGCAGCAGGUUAAUACCCCGCUGUUCUGACGGUACCCAAAGAAUAAGCACCGGCUAACUUCGUG